CGCGCACGCCGCGAGCCGCUGGCGCCCGGGCUCCGCUCGAAUCCCAUGCAACAGCCAGGAUGUGAAGCGGGGCAGAGCCGGGGGAGCCCAGCCCAGCCAGCCUCCAGAAUGGGGACACGUCUUGCUGCGGCACGGGGAUUAAACGGUGUCACGUGGAUAAGCCCUCGACGGCCGGUUGCACGAACAGGGGCUCGGCGCCUGUGCCCUCCUACCCGUCAUCUCCAUGAGGAGAAGUUGGAGGGAGGUGAGGAUCCCCCCAAACCUUCAAUUUCCCAGACGACCGCAACAGGGAGACACUGCCCAGACAGGUGUGGGAUCCCCCAGCUACAUGCCUGGGCCUCCGGCUUCGCUCCUGUUUUCUCCUUUCACCCUGAGAACGGCCCCCAAAGUGGCAGCCGUUGCC
Molecule: long non-coding RNA, 403 nt
Filed under: Canis lupus dingo (dingo)
Lineage: Eukaryota; Metazoa; Chordata; Mammalia; Carnivora; Canidae
Description: lncRNA (ENSCAFG00020018935.1)
Source: RNAcentral